This 433-nucleotide ribosomal RNA is filed under the name uncultured bacterium. Its description in RNAcentral is "partial 16S ribosomal RNA". It matches the Rfam family "Bacterial small subunit ribosomal RNA", at positions 29 to 507 of the family's 1533-position model. The record is from RNAcentral.
AACGAACGCUGGCGGCAUGCCUAACACAUGCAAGUCGAACGAGACCUUCGGGUCUAGUGGCGCACGGGUGCGUCACGCGUGGGAACCUGCCCUUAGGCUCGGAAUACCACCCCGAAGGGGGUGCUAAUACCGGAUAAUGUCUUCGAACCAAAGAUGUAUCGCGCUUGGAUGGGCCGGCGUUGUAUUAGCUAGUGGGUAGGGUAAAAGCCUACCACGGCGACGAUCCAUAGCUGGUCUGAGAGGAUGGUCAGCCACACUGGGACGGAGACCCGGCCGGGACUCCUACGGGAGGGGGGAGAGGGGAAUAUUGCACAACCGCCGGAAGCAUGAUCCAGUUCUGCCGGGUGAGUGAUGAAGGCCUUAGGGUUGUAAAGCUCUUUUACCCGGGAUGAUAAUGACAGUACCGAGAGAAUAAGCUCCGGCUAACUCCGUG